RNA transcript from Zingiber officinale, 818 nucleotides. RefSeq lists it as uncharacterized. NCBI's taxonomy places the organism in Eukaryota, Viridiplantae, Streptophyta, Magnoliopsida, Zingiberales, Zingiberaceae. The record is from RefSeq and is a predicted model, not a curated record. The transcript is spliced from 3 exons.
UCUAUCUUGCUUCUUCCUUCCUUCGACUAUAAAAGAAAACAUCCUGAGUGAGCAUGUGACAGGUGGGGUGAGUUACACAGGACCUCUAUCUUGCUUCUUCCUUCCUUCGACUAUAAAAGGAAGAGGAGCUUAAGCAUAUUUGACACCGGGACCCUAACAAAACAGCAAACGCCUUCUCUGCUUGCUCGACGACGGAUGGCGGGGGCCGGGGGAAUCACCAAUGCUAUGAACGUAGGGGUCGCCGUCUAGGCCGACUGGGAGAACCGCGAAUUCAUGGCCAACGCUUCGAUUUCCUCCUGCAAUUCGGGCUAUUCAACCCCCGUUCUAGCCGGCCAACGGUCCCAACAAGUGGUAUCAGAGUCAGAACGACUCAGAAGGAAUAACCACCGACUGAAGCAACGAGAUGGUCACAGCUAACAUUUACCCACCAAUGUUCGAGGGGGAGUUCGCAUUUUGGAAGCGACGAAUGGAGCUAGAUGACAGGGAGACGGGUCUCGGAGGGUGGUUACCAGGAGACGGCGGCGGCAGCAGCAGCACCGGCGGUGUAUGGGCUUUCUGAGACAGGCAGCCGAGGAGGAAGAGGAGAGAGGUGGAGUAGGGGAGGAUUGCAUAUCCACAAUCUUGCUCUCUUUUCACUUGCGGUUUGUGGAUUUGGCGGCGGUGGUGAGAACACGAAUGCUGGCAAGGGAGCAGCGCACGCUGCCGCUAUUGUAAAUUUGUGUGGAUUUGAUCACAACAUUAGCCACCGAUUGCAAUUAUAAUGAUGAUUCGUGUUUGCUUUAUGAAAUAGAAUAACACAAAUCGAGUAUUUGUAUUUA